This 223-nucleotide unclassified non-coding RNA is filed under the name Sclerotinia sclerotiorum. RNAcentral describes it as "partial internal transcribed spacer region". The stretch from base 1 to 46 matches the Rfam family "Eukaryotic small subunit ribosomal RNA", at positions 1786 to 1831 of the family's 1831-position model. The record is from RNAcentral. Lineage: Eukaryota; Fungi; Ascomycota; Leotiomycetes; Helotiales; Sclerotiniaceae.
AAGUCGUAACAAGGUUUCCGUAGGUGAACCUGCGGAAGGAUCAUUACAGAGUUCAUGCCCGAAAGGUAGACCUCCCACCCUUGUGUAUUAUUACUUUGUUGCUUUGGCGAGCUGCUCUUCGGGGCCUUGUAUGCUCGCCAGAGAAUAUCAAAACUCUUUUUAUUAAUGUCGUCUGAGUACUAUAUAAUAGUUAAAACUUUCAACAACGGAUCUCUUGGUUCUG